GGUAGCGUGGCCGAACGGUCUAAUGCGCUGGUUUGAGUCACCAAUCUCUUCGGAGGUGUGGGUUCGGAUCUCACCGUUGCCU
Molecule: non-coding RNA, 82 nt
Organism: Eumeta japonica
Lineage: Eukaryota; Metazoa; Arthropoda; Insecta; Lepidoptera; Psychidae
Source: the annotation of a GenBank genome assembly